This 2560-nucleotide ribosomal RNA is filed under the name Triticum aestivum (bread wheat). RNAcentral's name for it is "partial small subunit ribosomal RNA". The record is from RNAcentral. Lineage: Eukaryota; Viridiplantae; Streptophyta; Magnoliopsida; Poales; Poaceae.
ACCAAAGAAAACACCGCUGACCGAUACUAAAAACGAAGCUGGUAACUUCCUAAAAAGGACACUGCAGGGACGAUUACUACCUCCGCUGCCCCUUUGCCCCACUACACCGGCCGUAGGUGUCCACGACCUCCGCUGUGUGCCGGAGCGACGGUGCUCGUCGGAGCAGCCCCCUCCGACACCGCUCCGCGGACAGCAGCGUGGGGCACGACGUUGCCCUGCGCCCGUCCCGACGCUGUCGUGGUCUCUGGUCUGGCGCGCGGUGCUGCUGGCGCUGAACGGCGACGUGCGGCGGCGCUGGUCGCGAUGUAGCAACCCAGGACCCCGAUACCCGGAUACCACUCCCCCUUCUCGCUGGACGUUUAGUCGGCUCCCGUCACGCUCGUCUCUUGUUGUUCUUUUCUUUGCACGCUCCUUCUUCUACACCCCCUCUUUCUAGUCUGCCGACGUACAUUAACUUAGCACCCCGAUCGUGCACUGGCCGGCUUUCGAUCGCGGCCGCCUGGCCACGGAUCGUAACCGGAUUUAUUAAAUCGAGCUUAGGUGUCUCCUGUAUGAAGUGAAAGUCACUACUUUUUUAUAGAAACUCGGAAAAAGUGAAAAUAAUUGCUGUCUUUUCUACACAGAUAGCGAACAACAGAGAACAAACGCGGAGACGACUCAUCAUGGCUCGCCAGAGAAAGACCAAGUUUUAGACUGGUGGGUUACUCGUCGUGGGUCGCGCGGUCCAGUAGUGGUUGCUACUCUAUCUCUUCACCUACUCUAAGGUGAAGCGGCGUCGGGGUAGUAGCAGAAGGGGGGAAGUUAGAGGUUCGGAGGUUUAGUUCUUCGAGACCCUCUGUUCGAGGCCGGCACUCGCUGUUACGGCGAGACGUCGAAGAUGCGGAGGUGCAGGGAGGGCCACCGGUUCGGGGUGAGGGACGGGAGGAGGCGGUUCGAGGGGAGGUGGCGGCGGCGCCGCUAGUGGUGGCACGUCGGUUUCUUCAGCGGCGGCCGGCACCGACGCCGGCGCCGCCGCUGGCAGGACGGCUGCUGCCGGCUCUUGUGUCGCAGGUACUGCGGCCGCCUCCGCGACAGAGACGUGGACGGCCUCGACGGCAGCCGCUACGCCCUGUUCUAGGACUCGGACCUCGACUACCCCCACCUGAUGCCCGCGCGCGACAGCGACUUGGGCCGCGAGGCCCUGCGCCGCGGCCUCAGGUAGGUGCGCCACCAGUGGAAGGACGUCAGCGCGCCCGAGGUGAAGUUCCUGGACCCGGCGCAGAAGCCGUACACGGGCAGGCACGAGUGGCGGUCGCAGGCGCGGCUGGAGGCGGGGCAGAAGCGGAAGGAGUGGCUGCUGGAGCCGCACGGCCUCCGGCGGAUGGCGGCGCACCAGCAGUUCACGGGCGCGCACGACAGGACGUCGCAGGCGCUGGUCGAGGCCGGCCGCGAGUAGAUGGAGGCGGCGGAGCCGAAGGCCCUGUUGGCGCGCGACCGCAAGGUCCUGGGGUAGGAGGAGCAGAGGUCGCACCUCGCGUGGUACCGCGGGUUCGACCUCAUGGACCGGCCCGACCCGUACAGCGCCCUGCUGCGGCACCGGUACCGCGAGGCGACGGGCCGGGAGAAGUGGAAGUUGCACCUCUCCUUGAUGUUCGGGUUCAAGCUCAUGGACCACCUCCUCUACCCGCCGCCGCACCUCCUGCAGUUCCGGAAGGGCGUCAUGAAGUGGAAGUCGGAGCUCUUCGCCUAGCGCGGCGCCGUGGCGCGUCGGCGGCUGCGGCCGCAGCUGGACGGCGACGGCCUGUACGAGUUCCGGUGGCUGCUCCUCAAGUCGCUCUACGAGCUCUCCUCCUCCUCCUCGCCUACUUCGCACGCCAUACCGGCGGCCGGCCGGCCGACUCGCGCGGCACGCGGUACGAGUACGUGCGUCCGCCGGCCGCCCACGAAACAUGUGAAUGGUGGCUCGAUACCGCUGGUCCCGAACGUGACAUGUAUUACUAGUUACCAACUACGGUGCCGAGGACUCAGGACUGAGUGUCGCACUUCACUACUACGAAGAAAGAAGACAUCUCCUACACAUUCAUGGUUACUUCAUCAGCCCACACGGUGCACAUAUCACAAGCAUUGUGUACAACCCCGACAUUUAUUUCAGUACCUCCUUUCAAGUUAGCCCUACUUGAGACAAUAUUAUAGUUCUUUACAUUUCGUCCCCCCUGCACUUUGAAACACCGGUAGGCUAGAUAAAAAUUUAGCCUACCGAGUUCUCGUUGGGAGAAGGGAUCACAUUCAAACGUUUACCUGUCGCCCACACUAGGAAAGGUGGCGUUGUCAACGAAACAACGUCCGGUUGGCCAAGAUCAUCUCCUUAGUUUCCCACCUUCGUCGCCUUCCGUCCUUCCCCAGGCUCGAGCCACUGUCGUGCGGUGCCCUUCACCUAGGAGACUGUGCUUCCUGUUUUCAGUGCAUUCGAUGUUAAGAGAUUGAAAAGAGGUAGUGUAGGUAUACUCAUUCCGAUUUGACUGAACUUAAUAAAACGUUUAAUGUUUAGAUGAAAUAUGUAAAUGUUUUUAAUGUAUGUUUG